GCCGAGGUGGUGGAACUGGUAGACACUCGGGACUUAAAAUCCCGUGGCCCGUGAGGGCCGUGUGGGUUCGAUCCCCACCCUCGGCACCA
RNAcentral lists this transfer RNA (89 nucleotides) under Acidobacteriota bacterium. RNAcentral's name for it is "Acidobacteria bacterium tRNA-Leu". It matches the Rfam family "tRNA". Rfam says of the family: Transfer RNA (tRNA) molecules are approximately 80 nucleotides in length. The record is from RNAcentral. Lineage: Bacteria; Pseudomonadati; Acidobacteriota.